This 759-nucleotide ribosomal RNA is filed under the name Bacillus pumilus. Its description in RNAcentral is "bacterial SSU rRNA". It matches the Rfam family "Bacterial small subunit ribosomal RNA", at positions 37 to 779 of the family's 1533-position model. Lineage: Bacteria; Bacillati; Bacillota; Bacilli; Caryophanales; Bacillaceae. The record is from RNAcentral.
CGGCGGCGUGCCUAAUACAUGCAAGUCGAGCGGACAGAAGGGAGCUUGCUCCCGGAUGUUAGCGGCGGACGGGUGAGUAACACGUGGGUAACCUGCCUGUAAGACUGGGAUAACUCCGGGAAACCGGAGCUAAUACCGGAUAGUUCCUUGAACCGCAUGGUUCAAGGAUGAAAGACGGUUUCGGCUGUCACUUACAGAUGGACCCGCGGCGCAUUAGCUAGUUGGUGAGGUAACGGCUCACCAAGGCGACGAUGCGUAGCCGACCUGAGAGGGUGAUCGGCCACACUGGGACUGAGACACGGCCCAGACUCCUACGGGAGGCAGCAGUAGGGAAUCUUCCGCAAUGGACGAAAGUCUGACGGAGCAACGCCGCGUGAGUGAUGAAGGUUUUCGGAUCGUAAAGCUCUGUUGUUAGGGAAGAACAAGUGCAAGAGUAACUGCUUGCACCUUGACGGUACCUAACCAGAAAGCCACGGCUAACUACGUGCCAGCAGCCGCGGUAAUACGUAGGUGGCAAGCGUUGUCCGGAAUUAUUGGGCGUAAAGGGCUCGCAGGCGGUUUCUUAAGUCUGAUGUGAAAGCCCCCGGCUCAACCGGGGAGGGUCAUUGGAAACUGGGAAACUUGAGUGCAGAAGAGGAGAGUGGAAUUCCACGUGUAGCGGUGAAAUGCGUAGAGAUGUGGAGGAACACCAGUGGCGAAGGCGACUCUCUGGUCUGUAACUGACGCUGAGGAGCGAAAGCGUGGGGAGCGAACAGGAUU